Molecule: ribosomal RNA, 1312 nt
Filed under: metagenome
Description: bacterial LSU rRNA
Rfam family: Bacterial large subunit ribosomal RNA
Source: RNAcentral
CCACUCACACUGUCAAGAAAAGCUUCUAUCAAGUAUCAUGCUACCCGUACCGUAAACCGACACAGGUAGGCGAGGAGAGAAUCCUAAGAUGAGCGGGAGAAGUGUUGUUAAGGAACUCGGCAAAAUGACUCCGUAACUUCGGGAGAAGGAGUGCCUCGCAAGAGGCCGCAGAGAAGAGGCUCAAGCGACUGUUUAGCAAAAACACAGGUCUCUGCUAAAUCGAAAGAUGACGUAUAGGGGCUGACGCCUGCCCGGUGCUGGAAGGUUAAGGGGAGUGCUUAGCGCAAGCGAAGGUGCGAACUUAAGCCCCAGUAAACGGCGGCCGUAACAAUAACGGUCCUAAGGUAGCGAAAUUCCUUGUCAGGUAAGUUCUGACCCGCACGAAAGGCGUAACGAUUUGAGCGCUGUCUCGACAACACACCCGGUGAAAUUGUAGUACUCGUGAAGAUGCGAGUUACCCGCGACAGGACGGAAAGACCCCGUAGAGCUUUACUGCAAUCUGGCAUUGGAUUUUGAUAUAACAUGUACAGGAUAGGUGGGAGGCAGAGAACCAUGUGCGCCAGCAUGUGGGGAGCCACCCUUGGGAUACCACCCCUGUUAUAUUGGAAUUCUAACGAGUGGCUGUAAUCCAGCCAUCGGACAGUGUCAGAUGGGCAGUUUGACUGGGGCGGUCGCCUCCUAAAAAGUAUCGGAGGCGCCUAAAGUUACCCUCAGGAUGGUUGGAAACCAUCUGUAAGAGUGCAAAGGCAGAAGGGUGAUUGACUGCGAGAGAGACAUCUCGAGCAGGGACGAAAGUCGAGCUUAGUGAUCCGGUGGUCCCGAGUGGAAGGGCCAUCGCUCAACGGAUAAAAGCUACCUCGGGGAUAACAGGCUUAUCUCCCCCAAGAGUCCACAUCGACGGGGAGGUUUGGCACCUCGAUGUCGGCUCGUCUCAUCCUGGGGCUGAAGCAGGUCCCAAGGGUUGGGCUGUUCGCCCAUUAAAGAGGCACGCGAGCUGGGUUCAGAACGUCGUGAGACAGUUCGGUCCCUAUCCGUCGUGGGCGCAAGAAAUUUGAGAGGAGCUGUUCCUAGUACGAGAGGACCGGAACGGACGAACCUCUGGUGCAUCGGUUGUCCUGCCAAGGGCAUAGCCGGGUAGCCAAGUUCGGACGGGAUAAGUGCUGAAGGCAUCUAAGCACGAAGCCCCCCUUAAGAUAAGAUAUCUCAUUCGAAAGAAGUAAGGCCACUGGAAGACGACCAGGUAGAUAGGCUGGAGGUGGAAGUGCGGUAACGUAUGGAGCUGACCAGUACUAAUCGGCCGAGGUCUUGAUGA